This 411-nucleotide ribosomal RNA is filed under the name Callinectes sapidus (blue crab). RNAcentral describes it as "partial 12S ribosomal RNA". It matches the Rfam family "Microsporidia small subunit ribosomal RNA", at positions 752 to 1278 of the family's 1311-position model. Lineage: Eukaryota; Metazoa; Arthropoda; Malacostraca; Decapoda; Portunidae. The record is from RNAcentral.
ACCAAUAAGUAAUUAUUAUAAGCCUAAGUAUUAAUAGUUAUUUUCUAAAAAUUUGAAAAAUUUGGCGGUGGUUCAGUCCUGUCAGAGGAACCUGUCUUUUAAACGAUACACCACGAAAUAUUUUACUUAAACUGAUAAAGUAUGUAUACCAUCAUUAUUAGGUAAUUUUUAUAGAAUAAAUUACUAAAAGACUAGCAGGUAAAGCUAAAUAUAUUAGAUCAAGGUGCAGCUUAUGUUUAAGUUAAGAUGGGUUACAAUAAUAUUUAUUUAUUACGGAUAGGUGAUUUAAAUAUUGCCUGGAAGGAGGAUUUGAUUGUAAAAAUAGUUUAGUAUGGUAUUUAGAUAUAGGCUCUGAAGCAUGUACAUAUCGCCCGUCGCUUUCAUUCAUAAAAUGAGAUAAGUCGUAACAUA